CUACGGGCGGCUGCAGUGGGGAAUAUUGCACAAUGGGCGCAAGCCUGAUGCAGCCAUGCCGCGUGUAUGAAGAAGGCCUUCGGGUUGUAAAGUACUUUCAGCGGGGAGGAAGGGAGUAAAGUUAAUACCUUUGCUCAUUGACGUUACCCGCAGAAGAAGCACCGGCUAACUCCGUGCCAGCAGCCGCGGUAAUACGGAGGGUGCAAGCGUUAAUCGGAAUUACUGGGCGUAAAGCGCACGCAGGCGGUUUGUUAAGUCAGAUGUGAAAUCCCCGGGCUCAACCUGGGAACUGCAUCUGAUACUGGCAAGCUUGAGUCUCGUAGAGGGGGGUAGAAUUCCAGGUGUAGCGGUGAAAUGCGUAGAGAUCUGGAGGAAUACCGGUGGCGAAGGCGGCCCCCUGGACGAAGACUGACGCUCAGGUGCGAAAGCGUGGGGGGCAAACAGGAUUAGAUACCCGCGUAAUC
Molecule: ribosomal RNA, 464 nt
Filed under: uncultured bacterium
Lineage: Bacteria
Description: partial 16S ribosomal RNA
Rfam family: Bacterial small subunit ribosomal RNA
Source: RNAcentral